This 468-nucleotide ribosomal RNA is filed under the name uncultured bacterium. RNAcentral describes it as "partial 16S ribosomal RNA". It matches the Rfam family "Bacterial small subunit ribosomal RNA", at positions 28 to 507 of the family's 1533-position model. The record is from RNAcentral.
GACGAACGCUGGCGGCGUGCUUAACACAUGCAAGUCGAACGGAAAGGCCCUGCUUUUGUGGGGUGCUCGAGUGGCGAACGGGUGAGCAACACGUGAGUAACCUGCCCUUGACUUUGGGAUAACUUCAGGAAACUGGGGCUAAUACCGGAUAGGAGCUCCUGCUGCAUGGUGGGGGUUGGAAAGUUUCGGCGGUUGGGGAUGGACUCGCGGCUUAUCAGCUUGUUGGUGGGGUAGUGGCUUACCAAGGCUUUGAAGGGUAGCCGGCCUGAGAGGGUGACCGGCCACAUUGGGCCUGCGAUACGGCCCAGACGCCUACGGGAGGCAGCAGGGGGGAAUAUUGCACAAUGGGCGGAAGCCUGAUGCAGCAACGCCGCGUGCGGGAUGACGGCCUUUGGGUUGUAAACCGCUUUCGCCUGUGACGAAGCGUGAGUGACGGUAAUGGGUAAAGAAGCACCGGCUAACUACGUG